AUCUCCCAGAAAUCUUGUUAAAAUGCAGAUUCAGAUUCAGCAAAUCUGGAGUGAGGCCUGAGAUUCUGCAUUUUUAGCAAGCUCCCAGGUGGUGUUGA
This 98-nucleotide microRNA precursor is filed under the name Loxodonta africana (African savanna elephant). RNAcentral describes it as "mir-544 microRNA precursor family". It matches the Rfam family "mir-544 microRNA precursor family". The record is from Rfam by way of RNAcentral. Lineage: Eukaryota; Metazoa; Chordata; Mammalia; Proboscidea; Elephantidae.